GUGCUCGCUUUGGCAGCACAUACAGUAAAAUUGGAACGAUACAGAGAAGGAUGACACGCAAAUUCGAGAAAACUAAAAGUAAAAA
Molecule: small nuclear RNA, 85 nt
Organism: Gorilla gorilla gorilla (western lowland gorilla)
Lineage: Eukaryota; Metazoa; Chordata; Mammalia; Primates; Hominidae
Source: Ensembl